GCGCAGCAGUCGCGAAAACUCCGCAAUACACGAAAGUGUGACGGGGCUAUCCCGAGUGCCGUCCACUGAGGAUGGCUUUUCCCCAGUGUAGACAGCUGGGGGAAUAAGGAGAGGGCAAGUCUGGUGUCAGCCGCCGCGGUAAUACCAGCUCUUCGAGUGGUAGGGAUGUUUAUUGGGCCUGAAGCAUCCGUAGCCGGCCGAGCAAGUUCUCUGUUAAAUCCAGCGAUUUAAUCGUUGGAUUGCGGGGAAUACUGUUCGGCUUGGGGGCGGGAGAGGCCGUCGGUAUUCUUGGGGUAGGGGUAAAAUCCUAUAAUCCCGGGAGGACCACCAGUGGCGAAGGCGGCCGACUAAAACGCGCCCGACGGUGAGGGACGAAAGCUGGGGGAGCGAACGGGAUUAGAUACCCGUGUAGUCC
This 415-nucleotide ribosomal RNA is filed under the name uncultured crenarchaeote. Its description in RNAcentral is "partial 16S ribosomal RNA". It matches the Rfam family "Archaeal small subunit ribosomal RNA", at positions 330 to 747 of the family's 1478-position model. Lineage: Archaea; Thermoproteati; Thermoproteota. The record is from RNAcentral.